AUUGAACGCUGGCGGCAGGCUUAACACAUGCAAGUCGAGCGGGGAAGAGUAGCUUGCUACUUGACCUAGCGGCGGACGGGUGAGUAAUGCUUAGGAAUCUGCCUAUUAGUGGGGGACAACAUCUCGAAAGGGAUGCUAAUACCGCAUACGUCCUACGGGAGAAAGCAGGGGACCUUCGGGCCUUGCGCUAAUAGAUGAGCCUAAGUCGGAUUAGCUAGUUGGUGGGGUAAAGGCCUACCAAGGCGACGAUCUGUAGCGGGUCUGAGAGGAUGAUCCGCCACACUGGGACUGAGACACGGCCCAGACUCCUACGGGAGGCAGCAGUGGGGAAUAUUGGACAAUGGGGGGAACCCUGAUCCAGCCAUGCCGCGUGUGUGAAGAAGGCCUUUUGGUUGUAAAGCACUUUAAGCGAGGAGGAGGCUACCGAGAUUAAUACUCUUGGAUAGUGGACGUUACUCGCAGAAUAAGCACCGGCUAACUCUGUGCCAGCC
Molecule: ribosomal RNA, 491 nt
Filed under: uncultured bacterium
Lineage: Bacteria
Description: bacterial SSU rRNA
Rfam family: Bacterial small subunit ribosomal RNA
Source: RNAcentral